AGCCGGUGAUUGUAAGGAUAAUAUUUGCUACUCUUGAAGGGUUUAUCCCAUAUGAGGAUUAUUAUUCUACCAAGAUCUCUGAGGCU
Molecule: small nucleolar RNA, 86 nt
Organism: Papaver somniferum (opium poppy)
Lineage: Eukaryota; Viridiplantae; Streptophyta; Magnoliopsida; Ranunculales; Papaveraceae
Product: small nucleolar RNA SNORD24
Exons: 1
Source: RefSeq, a predicted model, not a curated record